This is a non-coding RNA of Callithrix jacchus (white-tufted-ear marmoset), 2657 nucleotides long. The record is from RefSeq and is a predicted model, not a curated record. Lineage: Eukaryota; Metazoa; Chordata; Mammalia; Primates; Cebidae.
AUGAUUAUGUCGGUGGGCACUAACUGAACCUGGGGAAACUGGGAACAACCUCAAAACCAAAACCAGCCACAGCACAAGCAGUGGCCACAGGCCACUGCAGAAGAAAUUCAACUUGCACAGUUGAUUUCAGACCAUAAUGAUGAGACUUUGAGGAAAAGGUGAAAAGAUUGAUAUUACGGGCAAGAACCAGGAUGAAUGUGUAAUUGCUUUGCACAACUGCAAAGGAGAUGUCAACAGAGCCAUCAAUGUUCUUCUGGAAGGAAACCCAGACACGCAUUCCUGGGGCCAGAAGGACGGCAGCCAGAUGGAAUACAAUGAGGAAGGCAAAGAAAAUCGAGACCGGAACAGAGACUAUAGUCAGCUACGUGGUGGGCCACCAAGAUGGGGGAGAGCUGUGGUUUGAGGUCAGGAAAAUGGAUUGGAUGGCACCAACAGUGGAGGGCCUUCUGGAAGAGGAACGGAAACAGGAAGAAGGGGCCGUGGCCAAGGCAGAUGUGGCUCUGGUAGGCGAGGAGAAAGUUUUUCUGCUCAAGGAAUGGGAACUUUUAACCCAGCUGAUUAUGCAGAGCCAGCCAAUACUCAUGAUAACUAUGGCAAUAGUAGCAGCAAUACAUAGAACAACACUGGCCACUUUGAACCAGAUGAUGAGACGAGACUUGAUUUCAUUGGGGUUGAGGGGUCAAAUUAUCCCCGAAAAUUUCAGACUGGGAGGACUGCAACAGAGGAAUGGGGGACUGAAGAUUGGAAUGAAGAUCUUUCUGAGACCAAGAUCUUCACUGCCUCUAAUGUGUCUUCAGUGCCUCUGCCUGUGGAGAAUGUGACAAUCACUGCUGGUCAGAGAAUUGACCUUGCUGUUCUUCUCGGGAAGACACCAUCUACAAUGGAGAAUGAUUCAUCUAAUCUGGAUCCAUCUCAGGCUCCUUCUCUGGCCCAGCCUCUGGUGUUCAGCAACUCAAAGCAGACUCCACAACACAGCCGGCUUCAGGGAACACAUUUUCUCAUCACAGUAUGGUGAGCCUGCUGGGGAAAGGAUUUGGUGAUGGUGAAUGAAGCUAAAGGCGGCAGUACUACGGGCUCCCAGUUCUUGGAGCAAUUCAAGACUGCUCAAGCCCUGGCUCAGUUGGCAGUUCAGCAUUCUUAGACUGGAAGCACCACCACCUCCUCUUGGGACAUGGGCUUGAUGACACAAUCCCCAAAUGAUUCAACAGUGCACAGCCCCUUUAUAAAGCGCCAGGCUUUUACCCCAUCUUCAACCAUGAUGGAGGUGUUCCUUCAGGAGAAGUCACCUGCAGUGGCUACCUCCACAGCUGCACCUCCACCUCAGUCUUCUCCUCUGCCAAGGAAAUCCACAUCGGCUCCAUCGAUGUCACCUAGAUCUUCAGACAACCAGUCCUCUAGCCCUAGCCAGCUCAGAAAAAGCUGAAACAGCAGGAGAAAAAAGCCUCCUUGACUUCUAAGAUUCCUGCUCUGGCUGUGGAGAUGCCUGGCUCAGCAGCUAUCUCAGGGCUAAACCUGCAGUUUGGGGCAUUGCAGUUUGGGUCAGAGCCAGUCCUUUCUGAUUAUGAGUCCACCCCUACCACGAGCGCCUCUUCAAGCCAGCUCCAGUAGCCUAUAUACCAGCACGGCCAGCGAAUCUUCAUCUACAAUUUGAUCUAACCAGAGUCAAGGAGUCGUUAUCAGAGUGGCCCAAUUCAGUCGACAACCUAUACCUCCCAAAAUAAUGCUCAGGGCCCUCUUUAUGAACAGAGAUCCACACAGACUCGGUGGUACCUCAGCUCCAUCUCUUCAUCACCCCAAAAGGACCUGACUCAGGCAAAGAAUGGCUUCAGUUCUGUGCAGGCCACACAAUUACGGACCACUCAAUCUGUUGAAGGUGCUACAAGCUCUGCAGUAAAAUCUGAUUUACCCUCCACUUCUAGCAUCCCCGCUCUCAAUGAAAUGGUAUCUGCACCUUCCUUAGUGACAACAACCAAUCUGCACUCAUCCUCCUUGGGUGGCUUGAGCCACAGUGAGGAGAUUCGAAAUACUAACACCACACAACACAGCAGCACAUUAUCUACGCAGCAGAAUACCCUUUCGUCAUCAACAUCUUCUGGGCACACUUCAACAUCCACUCUUUUGCACACAAGCAUGGAGAGUGAAACGAAUCUCUAUUCUUCCUCCAGCUCUCUGCACCUCCCCCAGUGGUCAGUGUCUCCUCCACUCUCAAUAGUGGCAGUAGUCUGGGUCUCAGCCUAGGCUGCAACUCCCCUGUCACAGCCUCGACUCGAAGUUCAGUUGCCACGACUUCAGGAAAAGCUCCUCCCAGCCUCCCUCCUGGGGUCCCACCGUUGUUGCCUAAUCCGUGUAUUGUGGCUCCAGGGCUGUUACAUGCCUAUCCGCCACAAGUAUAUGGUUAUGAUGACUUGCAGAUGCUUCAAACAAGAUUUCCAUUGUAUUACUACAGCAUCCUAUUUCCCACACUCACUACUCCGCUGACUGGGGGGGAUGGUAGCCUGGCCGGCAACCCUUAUUCUGGUGACCUCACAAAGUUCGGCCUUUGGGAUGCCUCCUCCCCAGCCCCGGCCACAACCUUGGCCCAACCCCAACAGAACCAGACGCAGAAUCACCACACCACGCAGGAGACAUUCCUGAAGUGUGGUUUCAAAAAAUUGUAA